Papaver somniferum (opium poppy) is the source of this 206-nucleotide long non-coding RNA. RefSeq lists it as uncharacterized. The record is from RefSeq and is a predicted model, not a curated record. The transcript has 3 exons. NCBI's taxonomy places the organism in Eukaryota, Viridiplantae, Streptophyta, Magnoliopsida, Ranunculales, Papaveraceae.
GGUCGGGAUGGAAUCGUUUUUAUUUUCUAGCUUCGAUUAAAAAAGAAGGACAAGGAAGUCAAUUUCUUUAAAUGAAGAUCAUCAGUCCAUCGAGGAGGGAGAAAAUAUAUGGCAACUUCUGAUUUGUUGAAUGAGUUGUCUAAAGACGGAUAUAAAGCGGAUCAUGAUCUAGAGUUGAAGAUUUCGAUGACCGUUCAAUAGAGAAA